UUGUGUAAAUUCCUUAGGUCAAUCCUUAGGAAUGAAUGAAUGACGAGUAGUUGAAUUCCUAGGGUAAAAUCCUAAGAAAGAUAAUAGGGAUGAGUAAUUGAGUUGAUUGUUUGAUGGUUGAAUAUAAUAAUUAUAUUAUUGUGGGUUGAAAACCCUAUAUGCUCACCAGGCUCCCAAGCCUGACCCACUCAGUUUUCUUUGCAUUACAGGUAAUGGCACAAGAGUAUAAGUUGGUGGACUUGACGAGAGAUUUUGGAUUAUAGGCCAGUAGUUAUGAAUAACUGUUGUAAGGUCUAUUUUAUAUUGUUUAUGCUUUUGGUCUGUAUCGGAACAUGACAUCCCGAGGUUUUAUUAUUUAAUGAAAAUACAUUCUCUUUGAGAAACGUUUUGAUAAAUGGUUAUCAUAUUUUAUUUUGGGAACAAAUUCCGCAACCGUUUUCUUUAAACGAUCACUCUGAUUUAUAAAACAAAGCAUAAACAAAUCGGUCUUUUCUGGCCGUGAAAAUGGGGAUGUCACAGUUGGUAUCAGAGCAUUAGUUUAAGCGAACUAGGAAUUUGUAGGAAAUUUCUAGACUUAAACUUAGAAUGCUAAGUAAUGAUUGUGAGGAGUGUGUCUAAAAUAUGUUAGGUAGUACACCUAAAUUGACACAAGCACUAGUUUAUUUUAGGAAUGAUGCCUAAAAUGCUUUUAUGUGCUAAUUGUUUUGUGUGAUAGCUAAAUUGAUGCUAUUAUUUGUUCGGAUCUAUGGUCUGUUGCCGACCGGAUCUGGAAACCUUAUGUGUUUAGGAUUCUAAGCGUACGUCUACGAUAUUAGAACUAGCAUGUAAACGUUUCGGAGUGAUAAGGGCGAUGUGAAUAUCUAUCGUGAUUGAGGAUAUAAUUUCACCUUAUUUGGUGUGUAGAUCAAAAAUGGUGAGAACAAGAAGUGGAGUUGGAAAUGCUGAUGAAAACAGGAAUCAACCACCAGUGAUUGAGCAAAUACCUGUCGUAGCAGCAGCACCUGAGCCAAUAACCAUGGCUGGUGUGCAAAUGAUGAUUCAGACGAUGUUGGAUCGUCAGAUGGAUGAAACUAGACGGUUGCUUCAGCAGAAUCGUGAAGAACUGUCAAUUCGAGUGGAAGAGCCUGAAUUAAAUGAAGGGCACUCGGAAGGUGGAAACUUCAGUGGGUCUGUUGGUCAAGCCAACCCACCGAUAGUUAGGCAAAACAACCAGAAUGGAAGGAACGAUGGAAUGGGAUGCAAGUAUAAGGAUUUUCUGACUUGCAAACCAUCGACCUUCACUGGAAAGGAAGAUCCGAUCGGAGUUAUGGAUUGGAUAUCGGAAAUGGAGCUAGCCUUCAUGACUUGUGGCUGCAGAGGCAAGUUGCAGACUACCUAUGCAGUGCGUCAGUUCAGGGGUGGGGCUGUUCGUUGGUGGAACACUUUGGGGAAGAUCCUAAGUCCUAAUGAGCCACUGCAACUGACCUGGGCAGAGUUCUUGGUGCAAUUCAAGCGCAAGUUCUGCUCUGCUCAAAAUCUAUUGGAGUUGGAGAAUAAGUUUCUGAUAUUGAAGAAAGGCAGCAUGUCAGUGGAUGAAUACACUAAUGCUUUCACAGACAAGAUGGAGUUUGCUUUACGCAUCGUUCCAGACGAACUGACAAAAGUCGAUCGGUAUGCCAAGGGACUCCCUUGGGAGUAUGCGGUGCCAGUGCGUCAGGCACCUACUCUAGAGGCAGCUAUUUGGGCUGCCAAGUCUGUUGAGAAUAUGAUCAAGGGGAGGACUGACAGUAAGGUUGAAGUUGGUGAGAAGAGAAAGUUAGAAGGAACUUCAGGUUCUAAUGAGAAAAGAAAAUCCUCGAAGUCUGGAGGAGGAGGAGGAAGGCAUGAGGCAAGGUGGUGCGAUAAGUGCAAGAAGAAGCACUCAGGAAAAUGUGGCAUGGAGGUGACAUGUUUCAAGUGUGGAAAGCAUGGGCAUUACACCAAUGAAUGUAUAUUCAACAAAAAGGUGUGUUACGAAUGUAACGAAGAGGGGCACUUCAAGCAAGACUGCCCAAGGAAAAAUCAAACAGCAAGGCUAGAGGCGCCGCCAAAGCUAAAGGCAAGAGCAUUUCAAAUGAUCCUUGAUGAAGCAGAUGGCAAUGCAAGGAAUCAGGAAUAAGGAUCUUAUAUCUAAAGAUCAAGUUAUAAAGUAGCGAUAUGAAAAGUAACAUGUGGUGUAGCCUAUUAGAGGCAUAGUAUAGGGUGAACUUGAACUUUUGUGUAACCGUUUCAAGGAAUUAAUAUAAACCCUAGUUUUGCUAACUGAUGUGUUGAAUGAUUGUCUGAUUUUCUUGUAUGGUGACUUGGUCGACUACGAGACAAUACUUGGGACGAGUAUGAGUAGGUGUGAAAGGUAGUAGAUGCAUAUACUACCGGAAGCACAGGACUCGCACUUGGAUCAGGGAAAGUCACAAGGUUACCAAGAAACUAGUGAUUGAUUCCAUUUUAUUCUGGUAUGUCAUUACCAUUGUUUCGGUAAUGACUAGUAAGAUGGUUCUUGUUCCGACCCUAGUGGUCAUAUUUAAAUUUGAGUUCGACUACGAGGAGUAUGUUACGUGGUCUAGAGGACCAAGUUAGAUGUAACAUCUGACUUAAGUCAGAAGGUUGAAGUUAAUGCGAUUGAUAGUGUCGCGCUCGUUGUUAAAAGAAGUUUGUAGGUAGAAAUGCUACAUGCUGAAAUGUGAUUAUAUCACAUUAGAAUAUGAAGGAAGGUAUAUUCCAUUUUGGAAUUUAACUCUAAGAGACCUGAGUCUAAGCAUUGCAUCAUUCGAUGAGAGGUCAGUAGAGCACGACCCAUCGGUUUGUUACAAUAGAUAAAGGAAAGUAUUUAUCCUGAGAAGAAGAAGGAGUCCAUAAUAACGACUUAUUUGGUAACUCGAGGGUUACGAUUGAAAGUACAACAUAGUACGAUAAGCAGAUGCAAGAUUGGGCAUCGUCUGCGGUCAAGAAAGCCAAAGAGUUAAAUACUCUUUCGAGGAAACAUAGAAUUUAAGGUUAUUACCAAGGAUGAAUAAAUAACGUGUGGAAUCAUUAUGCAAGUCCUAUUUUGUUGAUGAUUCCGAGAUGUAAUCAUCCUAAGGGGGAGAUAAUUGUAACGCACGUAGAUCAGGGCUAGUCAAUUUAGAGACAAUAGGCGUCAAAAUUGACUUUUUUAUGGAAGAUUAUCUAGAAGGAUUAAUCUUAACCGAUUUGUAGUAUAUGUUACAAGGUUUCCGUGCAUAUAAAGAACGCCAAAAUCCGAGUUAUAACGAAGAAGUUAUGACAUGUCGAAGUUUCGCGACAGAACCGGCACGACACAACGCGGCGUAAAAAGUUAAUUUACGUUAGAGCAAUGUUUAGCCUUAGCAAUGUAAAUGAAAGUCAUAGAAUACGUUAAACCGUGAGCAUGCAUAGAAAGAACGUCCAAAUCUGACUUCGUAUGAGGAAGUUAUGAUUUUUCUAAGUUUCGACUUAGCGAUAUGCAGCCCGAAAUACUCGAUUUGAGAUCGAGCGGUUUUUAGCCGAAGCAAUCUAAACGAGAAUCGAAGAUCUCGUUGUUGGUAUCGAAGCGAUAAAAAGUUAGGCGAGAACGGACGUCAAUCGAAGAAGUUAUGAAUUUAUAACGAAAUUUUCUGUCCCGGCCUAUUAAAAAUAAAUAAUAAAAAUAAAUUCAAAAUUAGCCGACGAAGUUUAAACGAAAGUUGUAGAGCGUAGUCUCACCUACGCGUGGAUAUAAAGAACGUCGAAAAUGGAGUUCGUAUGAAGGAGAUAUGAAUUUUUCGAAGUUUAUUAAAUAAUUAAUAAUUAAAUUUAAUUAUUCAAUCCGGCAUUAUCCGAAGGGGAGUCACCGGGCAUAUCCGAAGUAUGCCCAACGUACUGCUGUACGCCCCGCGUACAGCGAAGCAUGACGACCUUCGCACUCGAGUUCUUCGGAUGACGCAUGCAGUGACGAUUUCGGAGCCUUACGCCCCGCGUNCAGUACGCCCCGCGUACUCUGAGGCUCCAGCCUCCUAUAAAUAGGAUGCGAGGGUUCCGGGCUUAUUUGCUCAUUUCUCCUCGUUUUUGUGCUGAAGCUCUGCGUUUAAACCCACGAAGCCAUCCCGACACUCCGGAUCUCAUAUCCAAGUUAAGAAGGAAGUUUUACGCUCCCGAGAUCCCGUGAAGUGCGAUUCCCGGGCCGAAGCUCUGCCCGCGAGAAGUCCGGUUUUGUGGAGAUCUUCCAGAUCUACCAAAGAAUACUACUUCUGCAAGCGUAGUGUUGNUACGUGCUAUGUGUUUAUAUAUUGUUGUUUAUUUGAGAUGAGUAUGGAAUGAAUGUUUUAUAUAGUUUUUAAAUGAGUUAAACUGUAUAUGUAUUUUAUAUCUACAAAUAUGUUGGGUAGAACAUGGGUAGAUGAGAUAGUUGGUAUGUGAUAAAAUGAUGAGGUAUGAAAGAUGAUUAAGAAUGAUAUUGGCAGAUGCACCAAUUAGAGAAUGUCAUAAUGCUAGCAGAUGCGCUCAAGCAUAGUAUUGGUAGAUGCACCAAAGAGAAAGUGACAUAAUACUAGUAGAUGCACUUAAGUAUAGUAUUGGUAGAUGAAACUAAAAGAGCAUGCCUUAAUGCUAGCAGAUGCGCUUGAGAAUAAUAUUGGUAGAUGCACCAAGUAGUGAAUGUCGUGAUCUUGGCAGAUGCGCCAAAUAGAGAUUGUCAUAACAAUAGCAGAUGCGCUUAUAGGAUAAUCUUGGCAGAUGCGCUUAUAAGAUAAUGUCGGCAGAUGCGCCUAAAAGAGAAUGUCAUAAACCUGGCAGUCGCGCCUCAUAGUGUAUGACGUAAUCCUGGCAGAGGCGCUUAAAGGAUAAUGUUGGCAGAUGCGCCUUAUGUAGCAAUGGAAGUUUGUGCUAAUUCCUUAGGUCAAUCCUUAGGAAUGAAUGAAUGACGGGUAGUUGAAUUCCUAGGGUAAAAUCCUAAGAAAGAUAAUAGGGAUGGGUAAUUGAGUUGAUUGUUUGAUGGUUGAAUAUAAUAAUUGUAUUAUUGUGGGUUGAAAACCCUAUAUGCUCACCAGGCUCCCAAGCCUGACCCACUCAGUUUUCUUUGCAUUACAGGUAAUGGCACAAGAGUAUAAGUUGGUGGACUUGACGAGAGAUUUUGGAUUAUAGGCCAGUAGUUAUGAAUAACUGUUGUAAGGUCUAUUUUAUAUUGUUUAUGCUUUUGGUCUGUAUCGGAACAUGACAUCCCGAGGUUUUAUUAUUUAAUGAAAAUACAUUCUCUUUGAGAAACGUUUUGAUAAAUGGUUAUCAUAUUUUAUUUUGGGAACAAAUUUCGCAACUGUUUUCUUUAAAAGAUUACUCUGAUUUUAAAAACCAAGCAUAAACAAAUCGGUCUUUUCUGGCCGUGAAAAUGGGGAUGUCACAAUCUACAAGCCAACCCAUGACAGUCUUAAUUCAUAUCUACUUCCAACAUAUGACCGACUGUGGAAAAUUUGAAUAAUUUGAAAUAACAUAACAUAAUUAUUAUGGAAGUCAAAACAUGCAAAAUGAAAU
RNAcentral lists this long non-coding RNA (5517 nucleotides) under Lactuca sativa (garden lettuce). RNAcentral's name for it is "long non-coding RNA (LSAT_LNC003329)". The record is from RNAcentral. Lineage: Eukaryota; Viridiplantae; Streptophyta; Magnoliopsida; Asterales; Asteraceae.